CCCUAUGGGGCGCAGCAGGCGGUGGAGCGGGGCGAAGGUGGGCAUGGGGAAGUCCUUGGAAAGCGGAAAGGGGGGAGAUGGCAGAUCGGGACAAUGUCUAGGUUAUUGGCAGGGUGCAACUGGGGAUCAAGGUGAGCCACUGUCUACUUGUUGACAGUGUUUGAGAGAUCGUUUUGUGAUCGCACUUCUGACAAGUAGCCGUGGACGUCUGGCUUUUGUGAGGUACGUGCCAAAACCUCGACAUGAUAUGUAGGCAUCAGUCUUCCGCGGUCGGGAGUUGGCGUGUAUUCGAAGGAAACGACGGCGCGGCCGGAGGAGUCCCGGCAGGAGGACUUGAAACGGCCGCUGGCGUGGGUGCCGGUGGGCUUGACGGCAAUCGUGCGCCAGUCCGGAUUGCGGCGGAGGUGGUCGAUCAUGGCGGGAGGGC
RNAcentral lists this ribosomal RNA (427 nucleotides) under uncultured prokaryote. RNAcentral describes it as "partial 16S ribosomal RNA". The record is from RNAcentral.